Bufo bufo (common toad) is the source of this 1704-nucleotide long non-coding RNA. RefSeq lists it as uncharacterized. The record is from RefSeq and is a predicted model, not a curated record. The transcript has 3 exons. NCBI's taxonomy places the organism in Eukaryota, Metazoa, Chordata, Amphibia, Anura, Bufonidae.
AAGACUUUUAUUACUACAUCUGAUCCUGGAAUGACAUCAUACGCUGAGAAAUUAACAAUUUAUGAAAACAAAAAACAAACAAAACCCCUACAAAUUCAGUGCAUGAAAUGAUCCGGGAGACACGUCAGUUGUGGCUUUGGCACAGUCAGGACCAGGGCGCGCGCUGCUUAGGCCGAGGCGCGCGCUGCUUAGUGGGUUCCCAGACCAUAGAAGCAGCAGAUUCCUUAUCAUACAAGAUCAUGAAACGCGUAAGUACAAGUAUAUAAAAUGUAUACACAGUAGGCGGAGGGUGAAGAGCGGGGACCUUCCUAUAGUAAAUGUCCCCUCCGGCAUGACGCUGGAGCUCCCGUCCCAGACACAGUCUGUGCGCGAGUGUCGGUCGUGGGACCUUGAGGCGCGUCGGGCACAGAAGCGCCGGCUGUAACCUGAGCAGAACUGUUAUAUGGACGCCCCCCUUCCUAACGAAUGGCAACCAGAUAUGUAAAAUGUAGCAAAAUAUUAAUAUUUAAAUCCAUCAAUGAUUGACUAAUCAGUGAUGGAGGCCAGGAGGUAAGUCAUCCCCUCCGGAGCCCCCCAUUCACUGCAGACAGCAAGGAUAGCGCAAUGGCCACCCCUUUAACCUCUAUUUUCUUAUAUGAUCGUCUUCUUACCGUGGGAAGAAAAUCACACCGAAUACAGAAGUCUGGGAAAGCGUCAGUCAAAUCUCGCUCGUAUAUCACAAGGUAAUAGAGUCUCUUCAUGCAUCCUUCGCUUUACAGGUCACAUACUCCAGUCACAUCCAAAGCUGUGAACCUACAGACCUGCACCUACUGGUGCACUGCAGAAAACAUAGCUUUCUCUACACCACUACUUUAUACUACUCUACCCAACAUCUGCCUCGAUGCAACAGAGCAGAGCCUGCACUGACAACACUGCCUCAGCAGGGGGCAGUGUGCAGGACACAUUUUCUUUUUGCCGCCAGGAAAUCAGCAGAACUUUGGAUAAAGCUAUGGGCUCAUUCAGACGUCCGCAUCAGUUUCGCAAAUUUUGAGGCACAAGUGCGGACCCAUUAACUUCAAUGGGGUCUCAAAAGAUGCGUACAGCAUACAGUGUGCCGUCCACAUCCGUAGUGCCGUUCCACAGCUACGCAAAAAAGACACAUGUCCCAUUCAUGUCUGCAAUUGGGGACAAGAAUAGGCAUUUUCUAGUGUAGCAGCGGCCAUGUGGAGUCCGCAAAUUGUGGGAUGCACACGGGCCAGUCUCAGUGUUGUGCGGAUCCGCAAAACACUACGGUCAGCUGAAUGUAGCCGAUGGCUGAGACAAGAUGAAAGAUGAUUGUUAAUGCAGCUUUGAAUGUAACUGGAGUAUAAAACAAGAUGGAACUUAGGAUCUGUAAGUGAAGUAAAGGAUUAGCUAAAUUUAGAAUCGCGGGAAGGUCUUACCUUCGAAUGAGGCUAAAUCUGUACGUCUCAUAGUCCGUCGGCUUUCCUGGAUUACCAGAAUUUGGCCCCGAUUGCACUAAACUUCAACAUUUCACUCCCUGAGAUAAAGUCCGUUAUAAUCUACAAUAAUUAUCGCCAUUUCUGCUGGUGGCAGCAGUCACACGUCUCUCCCUGUCCACCAUUGUAUGAGAGACUGAGCAGACUCUACACACCUGACUACGACUACCAAACAGCUGAAAUUUCUUGCAAUUAAUUACAACAAAAAUAAAAAAUUUGAAAAAUA